GCCCUGGAGGUUUUGGCCAAACAACACUUACAAUCCAGUCUCAGUGUACCACGGCCUCUACAAAAAUGUAGGAUAGUCAUCCCAGGGUGGUAGCUGCCAGGAAGG
Long non-coding RNA from Thalassophryne amazonica, 105 nucleotides. RefSeq lists it as uncharacterized. The record is from RefSeq and is a predicted model, not a curated record. The transcript is spliced from 3 exons. NCBI's taxonomy places the organism in Eukaryota, Metazoa, Chordata, Actinopteri, Batrachoidiformes, Batrachoididae.